RNAcentral lists this unclassified non-coding RNA (1152 nucleotides) under Leishmania donovani. RNAcentral's name for it is "gene:LdHU3.09.0270(CDS-product:ATG8/AUT7/APG8/PAZ 2_putative)". Lineage: Eukaryota; Euglenozoa; Kinetoplastea; Trypanosomatida; Trypanosomatidae. The record is from RNAcentral.
CACGUUCUUACUGCCUGCUCAGCCUGCAUUCAUCCCACCCACCACCACCCCCACACACACGCACUCCCACUCCCCCCUCCCCCAGGCCACCCCAAUCAUCACCAUGUCCGCCUACGUGUUGUCGACGCCGCUGGAGGCCCGCGUUGCGAAGUGCGCGAGCCUGCGCGCUGCGAACGCGGUGCCCGUUGUCGUGGAGGAGGCGCAGGCGCGCGGCGGCAAGGCACACUUCAGCGCGCUGGCGCGCGAGACGACGGUUGCGCAGCUUGUGGCCGCGGUGCGCGGCUUCCGCGGCGUGGACGCGAAGAAGCCGGUGGCGCUGACGGUUGCCGGCUGCAGCGUGUCGCCGUCGGCGACGCUCGGCGAGCUGCACGACGCGUGCAGGCGAGCGGACGACGGCAUGCUGUACGUCGCCUACACCGCGGAGCGCUGCAUGGGCGCUGCGGUGUGCACGCCGUGCGGCUCGUGUGCCUGGAACUAGCGCCGGGAAGGGCGUGACAGCGUGGUGUGGUAGCGCUCAACGCGUCCUGCGGCUCCCGUGGUAUUGUCUGCCUAGCCUUGCGGUGUGCUUGGCCCCACCGCUCCCCGGUGCGCUGGCUGUCUCUUCUGGGUACCCUCCGCCUUGCCUUGUGCUACCCCUCGCUGACAGCGUGCGGCGCACCGGAUGACUAGCUGCGUGUGUGCGGCCGGGUGCACCCCCUCCCACACACACACACACUGCCUCCCCGUGUGUGUGCCUGUGCGGGACGGCCCUCUGCUAUACGUUUUUCUUUGGUUCUCUUUUCUGUCGCCGCAUCGACGGCACCCCUCGUGUGUGUGUGUGUGCGCUCGCCAAGUGCCAUUUGUGUUGUUCGGAGGCGGGCACGUCUCGCGGGCGCUCCUGUCCCCCACACACUCCCUGCGGGCUGUGGUCGGCGACGCCUCGCUACCUGUGCACACGUCCCGCCCCCCACCACCCACACCGCCUUCCUCUCUAUGUGCACGCACUUGUUUUGCUUGUUUAUUCCUGAUAUUCCGCGACUAUGAUCUCUCUCCCGUGUGCACAGCGCUGCGGCGGGCCGACUCACGCCCCUCUCAUUCUUCUCUUUUCCCCUCCCCCCUCACUUUCUUGAUCUUGUUCGCCCCCGCUGUCCUCAUGUGUAUACGUGUGUCCCG